RNAcentral lists this ribosomal RNA (629 nucleotides) under Agabus semipunctatus. RNAcentral describes it as "partial 16S ribosomal RNA". It matches the Rfam family "Bacterial large subunit ribosomal RNA", at positions 1829 to 2765 of the family's 2925-position model. Lineage: Eukaryota; Metazoa; Arthropoda; Insecta; Coleoptera; Dytiscidae. The record is from RNAcentral.
GUCCUUUUGAAUUUAAUUUAAGGUUUAACCUGCCCACUGAAAUUAUUUGAAGGGCCGCAGUAAUUUGACUGUGCAAAGGUAGCAUAAUCAUUAGUUUUUUAAUUAAAAGCUUGUAUGAAAGGUUGGACGAGGUAAAUUCUGUCUCUAUUUAAUUUAAAUUAGAAUUUAAUUUUUAAGUUAAAAAGCUUAAAUAUUUUUAAAAGACGAGAAGACCCUAUAGAUCUUUAUAUUAAGAAUAUUAAUUUUAAUUAAGAAUAUUUUAUUUUUUAAUGUUUAUAAUAUUUUAUUGGGGUAAUAAAAAGAUUAAAAUAAUUCUUUUUUUAUUUUUACAUUAAUUAAUGAUCUUAUGAUCCAAUUUUAUUGAUUAAAAGAUUAAGUUACCUUAGGGAUAACAGCGUAAUUUUUUUAGAGAGUUCAUAUCGAUAAAAAAGUUUGCGACCUCGAUGUUGGAUUAAAAAUUAUCUUAGGUGCAGAAUUUUAAGAUUUUGGUCUGUUCGACCAUUAAAUUUUUACAUGAUCUGAGUUCAGACCGGCGUAAGCCAGGUCGGUUUCUAUCUUUAAUAAAUUAUAAUAUUUUAGUACGAAAGGACCAAAUAUUAAAUAUAUAUAUAUUUAAUUAUUUUGAAUAU